This 497-nucleotide ribosomal RNA is filed under the name uncultured bacterium. Its description in RNAcentral is "partial 16S ribosomal RNA". It matches the Rfam family "Bacterial small subunit ribosomal RNA", at positions 28 to 507 of the family's 1533-position model. The record is from RNAcentral.
GAUGAACGCUGGCGGCGUGCCUAAUACAUGCAAGUCGAGCGAACAGACGAGGAGCUUGCUCCUCUGACGUUAGCGGCGGACGGGAGAGUAACACGUGGAUAACCUACCUAUAAGACUGGGAUAACUUCGGGAAACCGGAGCUAAUACCGGAUAAUAUAUUGAACCGCAUGGUUCAAUAGUGAAAGACGGUUUUGCUGUCACUUAUAGAUGGAUCCGCGCCGCAUUAGCUAGUUGGUAAGGUAACGGCUUACCAAGGCAACGAUGCGUAGCCGACCUGAGAGGGAGAUUGGGCACACUGUAACUGAGAAACGGUCCAGACACCUACGGGGGGCAGCAGUAGGGAAUCUUCCGCGAUGGGCGAAAGCUUGACGGAGCAAAGCCGCGGGAGUGAUGACGGUCUUCGGAUCGUAAAACUCUGUUAUUAGGGAAGAACAAAUGUGUAAGUACCUAUGCACGUCUUGACGGUACCUAAUCAGAAAGCCACGGCUAACUACGUG